This 88-nucleotide transfer RNA is filed under the name Chloroflexota bacterium. RNAcentral describes it as "Chloroflexi bacterium (groundwater metagenome) tRNA-Tyr". It matches the Rfam family "tRNA". Rfam says of the family: Transfer RNA (tRNA) molecules are approximately 80 nucleotides in length. The record is from RNAcentral. Lineage: Bacteria; Bacillati; Chloroflexota.
GGAGGGGUGGGUGAGUGGACAAAGCCGGCGGUCUGUAAAACCGCAGCCUUAACGGGCUUCGCAGGUUCGAAUCCUGCCCCCUCCACCA